CAGGUUUAAUCAUGGCUCAGGAUAAACGCUGGCGGCGCACAUAAGACAUGCAAGUCGAACGGAAGUCGUUAUAAAAGGAGAGAAGAUUUAUCGGAUUGAAUUUUAUAACAAUGGCUUUAGUGGCGGACUGGUGAGUAACGCGUAAGGAACCUACCUAUUAGAGGGGAACAACAAUGAGAAAUCAUUGCUAAUACCGCAUAUGCCUUAUAACUACCGCAUGGUAGAAGUAGGAAAGGAGUAAUUCGCUGAUAGAUGG
Molecule: ribosomal RNA, 256 nt
Filed under: uncultured bacterium
Lineage: Bacteria
Description: partial 16S ribosomal RNA
Rfam family: Bacterial small subunit ribosomal RNA
Source: RNAcentral